GAGUGAGUGUGUGUGUGUGUGUGUGUGUGCGCGCACACCAUGCACUUGCACAUGUGCACAAG
RNAcentral lists this microRNA precursor (62 nucleotides) under Notamacropus eugenii (tammar wallaby). RNAcentral describes it as "miRNA (ENSMEUG00000017123.1)". Lineage: Eukaryota; Metazoa; Chordata; Mammalia; Diprotodontia; Macropodidae. The record is from RNAcentral.